AGGGUGUAAACGCUGCAGACUUGGUGUUGGAAAUCCUUCGAGGGUAUUCAGUGCCGGAGAGAAGUUGUUAAGUCUGCUACUUGGGGAGUACGUCCGCAAGGAUGAAACUUAAAGGAAUUGGCGGGGGAGCACCGCAACGGGAGGAGCGUGCGGUUUAAUUGGAUUCAACACCGGAAAAACUCACCAGGGGAGACUGUUACAUGAAAGCCGAGAUGAAGACUCUGCUAGAUUUUCAGAGAGGAGGUGCAUGGCGUCAGUGACU
RNAcentral lists this ribosomal RNA (262 nucleotides) under uncultured archaeon. Its description in RNAcentral is "partial 16S ribosomal RNA". It matches the Rfam family "Archaeal small subunit ribosomal RNA", at positions 748 to 1008 of the family's 1478-position model. The record is from RNAcentral.